Molecule: transfer RNA, 85 nt
Filed under: Felis catus (domestic cat)
Lineage: Eukaryota; Metazoa; Chordata; Mammalia; Carnivora; Felidae
Also listed under: 2 other names
Rfam family: tRNA
About the family: Transfer RNA (tRNA) molecules are approximately 80 nucleotides in length. Their secondary structure includes four short double-helical elements and three loops (D, anti-codon, and T loops). Further hydrogen bonds mediate the characteristic L-shaped molecular structure. tRNAs have two regions of fundamental functional importance: the anti-codon, which is responsible for specific mRNA codon recognition, and the 3' end, to which the tRNAs corresponding amino acid is attached (by aminoacyl-tRNA synthetases). tRNAs cope with the degeneracy of the genetic code in two manners: having more than one tRNA (with a specific anti-codon) for a particular amino acid; and 'wobble' base-pairing, i.e. permitting non-standard base-pairing at the 3rd anti-codon position.
Source: Rfam by way of RNAcentral
GCCUGGGUGGCUCAGUCGGUUAAGCGUCUGACUUUGACUCAGGUCAUGAUCUCACGGUUUGUGAGUUCGAGCCCCGCGUCAGGCU